AAUACGGAGCCUGACCAUCCCAACCACACAGGUCGUAUGCAUCUUGGCAAUGCAGGUCCAAUUCUGGUCAGUCAAAGCUGUGCGCAGUACGGGUGUCAGGACCCGGGAGAGAGCGCGUAGUGGACCUGUACCACCAUGGAUGAAGCUCCUUCUUGUGUACCACCAAUAUAGCUAGGGUUAAGAAAAUUUUGGGGAAUCCCCCCUCCAACAAUGGGAAGGCACCGGAUCUCGAUUCUCUCUGGCGCACCGGAUCGGCGGAUCCCGGUUCACCGGCAAUGAAGCACUGGUGCCCAGCAUCCCAAUCACCUAGACCAGCGACGGCGCGACGGCGCCGCGCUAUGGCUGUGGGAACAUAGACGCAAAGCCCGGGAGUCGGCCAUCGUCCUUUGCAGCCCAAGUAUCUGAUGAUGAGUCUGGUAUUUGCGCAUCUUUAUUUUUGAAAAGUUUGGCGGUCAAGACAUGGAAUUAGCAGUCUGCAAGGAAAAUAUUAAUAAUCGCCGACAAAUGAUACUACACGAAGUAAUGAUGCUGCAAGGGAACUCAUCCAGUUA
Lolium perenne is the source of this 551-nucleotide long non-coding RNA. RefSeq lists it as uncharacterized. Lineage: Eukaryota; Viridiplantae; Streptophyta; Magnoliopsida; Poales; Poaceae. The record is from RefSeq and is a predicted model, not a curated record.